RNAcentral lists this ribosomal RNA (2452 nucleotides) under Triticum aestivum (bread wheat). Its description in RNAcentral is "partial small subunit ribosomal RNA". Lineage: Eukaryota; Viridiplantae; Streptophyta; Magnoliopsida; Poales; Poaceae. The record is from RNAcentral.
GCGCCCUCUGAUCCAAAUUCCCCAAACCUAAUCCUCCCACGCACUCCCUCCGCCGCCGGUGCACCCAAAUUCCCCAAACCUUAUCCUCUCACGUGCUGCCUCCACCGCCGGCCAAUAGCUAUCUACCAGCCCGCACGCCGUCACCGCGGCAGCGAGGUUGCGGCCCUAUCCCCAUCAUCCUCCUCCACCCCCACAGCUAGCCCCAAACACUUCUAAGUUCUAACCCUAGCUUGUGCCCGGUCACCUUCAUCCGCUAAGGCCUGGUGGUGGACGCCAUCGUUCAUCUCAGAUCCAGGGGUGAGAGAGACGUGGGUCACCUGGGAGACAGAGCACUCACACCCUCGCUCGUCACCCAGGCGCCGGACCGCCACCGCCACGCCAUGGGCCUCCUCCGAUCUGCAGUCGCCGGUUCGUUUGAAGGAGGAUCUGGACGUUGACUGCUGAUGCUUCCCCUCCCCGGGGAAGAUCCACGAUGACUUGUGGUAGUACUUCUACCCAGAAAUCAGCGCCUCGGCCGGGAGCUUGAGCUCGAGCAGAAUGUUAAGAACAGGGGCUCUAUCUGCUAAUGGGGUAGCCCGAAAUGCAGUCUAAGACCUGGCUACUGCUCGUUUGAUUUCUAGACAUGAGAGGAUAAGAACUUGAGAGGAAUAAGCUUGGUGCUAUGAUUGCAAAAAAAUACCUAUACUACAGGUGAGAGUUGAGACACGCCAUACACAGGCCCUGCAAGCGGGCAGAAAUAGACCUCUUCGUCAAUGACUUCUACAAGGAUGAUAUUGACCUAGAGGCUGGAGCUUUGCUACUCUUUCUGGCCAACAACAAGAUGUGAAGUGAAGAACAAGGGAUCGAACAGAUGUGAAAUUGAUGAAGUGAUUCUGUGAGGAACUUACCAGGUUUUCUCCAUGUUCAGGUGCAAAGGGGCCUCAAGUGCAAAGUUCAGGUUCAGUGCACUUAUUACGCUGUCACGUUUUUUACUGAAUCUUUUUUGGUUUGCAGACGCUUUUGGUCUUGUGAUGUAAAUUCACACAACAUUCAUUUUUUCCUAUUCUUAUUCAUGUUACUCUAUAAAUGUUAGAUAUCUAGGAAUGUUGCUUAUCCAAUUUUUCUGUUUAGAUGACAAUUGAGGCACUUUCUUCACUCUGUUCUAAAAGGUAUGCCCAAGUUAAUCUGUUGUAACUAAAAACUAGAAUAUGUAUAUGGACCCGACUUUUGUUAUUGGAGGUGAGAAUAUAUUUGUGUUGGGAAUUCCCUCUUAAAUAUUUUCAGAUUCAGAUUUGAUGUUGAGCUAGCUAAUCAGUAUUAGAAUCCCUAUUUUUAAUGUAGCUUUUUUAGCCAAUUAAGUAUAUGCCACUUCAAGAGGCAGAUUGUCGGCCUACAUUAUUUGCUAGAGAUUUUAUUUCUGCCACUAAUACCUCAUUUUCUAAUUCAUGUUUGGUGAAAUCUUAAGUUAAAUCUCUGUAGUACCUUGGUUUAUAGCAUCAGGAAUUAGUUAAGCCAUGGACACAUGACAUGGUUUUGUAGUCAUCUUCCUCAUUUUCUUUCUGCCCCUUCCUUUCAAUUAUGGCAACUGGUACUGCAUACAUAUGCCUCGUUCCUGUUGUAGCUGCUCCUCUUACCUAGUUCCCCAUAUGACACUUUCUGUAGUUCGCAUCAUAUUUGAAUUGUUACAUGUUCUGAUUGCAUGACUUAGGUGAUCUUUUUUCCAGUUUUGGUAUGGAUAGCCAAGCCCUUCUAUUAUUUCUAGAAACUAGUGUGUAAGCAGUCAACACUAUUUAUAUGUAAAUGUUUUAAGAUAUAAUAUCAUUUCUUGCAGCAUGUGGUUCAUUGAACAAGAAAAGGGACUGCUUCACAUAUGGAAUGUUUGCAAAUUUUAAAAAAAGAUCAAAGGAAAUUCAGUUUCUGAUAGUGUAUUAUAAUUGGGACUUGUUUAACUUUUGUAGGAAGCAAACAGAAGGACUGCACUCACAAGGGACCAUGAAGCCAGUGAUCCACGUCAACUGGAUACUUUAGCUUCCAUUUUGUACAACUAAGUCUUACUUUAGAACCUUUUGUGAACAUUAUGUAUGAUGUCUUGGUGGCUAUGUUUAGAACAAUUUGGGCCCUCUUUGAUUUGAAGGAUUUUCAAAACGUUGGAAUAGGAAAAAUACAGGAUUUGAGUGGCAUGUCCACUUGAAUCCUAUAGGAUUAGCCUAGAGUGUUUGAUGCUACAUGAAAAACAAAGGAAUUAAAAAAAGAGGUUGGAGUGGAUGCUAGAUUUCCAAUGAAAUGUAGUACACUUGAUUCCAUAGGAAAAAAUCCUAUAGGAUUCAAUCUUGUGAAUCAAACUACAAAUGUAGGAAAAAAUCCUAAGGAUUCUAACCCUCCAGAAGUCCCAUGGAAUUCCUUUGAAUCAAAGGAGCCCUUGAAGUAUAUGUAUCUGACAAUUUUUUAAUUAAUGGAAUAAUAAAUGUUUGAU